UUCCAUGUCAGAAAAAUACUUCACCUGGA
This 29-nucleotide non-coding RNA is filed under the name Mus musculus (house mouse). The record is from RNAcentral. Lineage: Eukaryota; Metazoa; Chordata; Mammalia; Rodentia; Muridae.